Long non-coding RNA from Macaca mulatta (Rhesus monkey), 2582 nucleotides. RefSeq lists it as uncharacterized. Lineage: Eukaryota; Metazoa; Chordata; Mammalia; Primates; Cercopithecidae. The record is from RefSeq and is a predicted model, not a curated record.
UCAAAAAAAAAAAAAAAAAAAAAGUGCUUGGAAUUGUGCCUGUCACAUAGGAAACAUUUUUUGUUGCUGCUGCUGAUGACGAUGAUGUGUUCUUCUGGUUGCCGGGGAUACAGUAGGGAAUUAACCCAGGUCUUUGCUCAGUUCCUUCUGGUAGGAGCUGGAUGAGUGGCCUCUCAGUGACUGGUCAUGUAAUUUCAUCGCUGGGGUGUCUGUUUUGCAUGUGGAAUAGGAUAUUUCUUGUGUGCUGUGAUCACGGGUGAUUCUGUGAUUGUGUGCCUGUAUUUGUGUUUGUGCUUGUAGGUGAUUGUAUUACUGUGUGUGUGUGAUUCUUUGUGUGGGUGUAAAUGCAAGAUCAAAUCUAACACAAACUGUGAAGGCACAUGUUUGGUGUGAUCUUGCAUUUCUGACUGCGGUGCUGGCAGUGUGUCUGUAAUUGGACUCUUGAGAACCCUUCUCUCAGCUGUGAGGCCACUCCCUUACAUAAUGUCCUGUACCUGACCCCUGGGAGAAAGAUCUUCCAAAAUGAGCCUUGGUUUCUCCCUAAUGGGGAUAGUGGGCCCAGUGGCUCGAGGAGAAAGGUGAGGUUGAAAGGGAAGGUGGGAGGAGACUGGUGAGGCGAGGGGGAGGCUAAGAGACGUGAUGGUGACACAGAAAAACGUAACUGGAUGGGGACAGAGGAAGAGCUGCGCAGAGAUGGGGAUCUCCGUCCAUUCAUUCCAUGAGCAUUUCCUGAGCCCCUGCAAUGUGCCAGGACCUCUGGUCGGUUCAGGGUCUGGGGGAAAGCAGAGAGACCCAGAGAGAUGAAUGCCCACCAGGGAAGCUGUUGCUGCUCCAGGGUGGCCCUCUGCCUCCACAAUGGGCCUCAGUGACAGUUCUGAGUGACGGAGAUGCAGCGAUGGGGAGGGACAGAAAAGGCCAGAUCUGUCCAGAUCAAAGAACAGAGGCCGUGGGGGAAAGGUCCCUUCCAGGCUAAGGGCACUGCCAUGAAUCAUUUUCUUAUCACCUCCUAAUAGGCUCAUGAUGCAUCUGCACCUCCUAAUCACUAUUUUCGACCCCAACCGGGCUCACACCCACAGCCAGAAGGGUUGGACAAGCUUAGUAUCAUGGAUUCGCGGGGGAAAAUACCUGGGAGAUCCCAUCCUUGGCCCUGCCUUCCCCAGGACCCAGGAGUCCGAGUCUCCAGCUCUCCACUCCCCCAGCCCCAGGAGUCCUAGCUCUUGGCUCCUCUCCUUUUGUUUGUUGCCUGCAUUUUCUUUUUUCUCUCUGGGCCUGUAACUCUUUGUUUAUCUCCAUCUGUGUUUUGUGUCUCUCUUGUAUUUUUACAUCUGUAUUUUGAUUCUCCCUCACUGGGCCUCAAUUUUCUCACUUGUAAACUGGGGAUAAUAAUAAUAGUAAUAAUCCAAUCUCUCAGAGCUGUGACGAGGAAGACAUGAGAUAAUUAUGUAAAAUGCUCAGCACAGAACCAGGCCACAGUAAACUCAGUACAAGAGAGCUCUAUUAUUAUUACUGUUUUAUUUUUGCUAUUUCCCCUUUGGUAUCUCUGUUUUUCUCGUGGUCUCACGUGAGUCUCCAGUCUCCUCCAGUUCUGGGUUCCUUUUGCAGACAGCACCUGCCUCUGACUUCCCUUUUCGGGAUGAGGAAAGGGCAUAUCUAGGCCAGAGCUUCCCCUGAGCCUCUUCCUUCUCCCUCUCUAUUCCAAGCUCCACCUCAUUACCUCCACGUGCCUGGGGGUAAGGCCUGGCUCCCUUCCCAUAAAUAGCCUGAUAAAAUCCUGAACCCCAAACCUGUCAUCCCUGGGCGGGCGAGUGACUCAAGAUCCCGUAGUUCCCGCUCCUAGACAUCAAACCUUUAGGUUUCCAGCCCCCUCCUCCCUCUGACCCAGGAGUCCGGGCCCCUAGUCCCUCCUUCCUCGGGUCCCAGGGUUCUCCUCCUUCAGAACCAAGGAGUCUGAACUCUCAAAUCCCUAAACUUCCUGAAGACCCAAGGAUCUGGUCAGCAAACAGCCUAGGUAUUGAGGGCCAGAAAUUCUAUUCGCGGCCACUCGGCGACCGUCUACGCCCAGGGCUCCCAUCCUGACUCAGCCCCUCCGGAGGCGGGUCCGACACGCCAGGCGCUUCUUUGGAGUCUGGCUGCGAUAAGCUAUCCCUGACGUCAGUCACUAUCUUCCAGCCAAUGGACACUCGGCCUUCUACCUCCCUGGGCCACUCAGGACGCUUUGCCUAGUAGGCGGGGCCCACAGCCCAACUCGGGCAGCGAUAGGCUUUUCGAGACGCCAGUCUCUGCCAGCCCCCAUCAGUCGGCCAAUAGACCCGGAACCUGAGAGAUCCGAAUCCGGGUCCACUCCGCAGAGGGCCCAGCGGGCUCGCGAGGGAACCGGUUCUGCGGGUCUGGCCGGUGCUCUCCGAAGGACACCAGCCCAAUGGAGAUGGUCUGCAGGAAUGGCCGGAUGGCAGGUGUGAACUGUGGAGAGACGCGGCUGCGUCACCCACCGCUCAGGAGAGGGAUGGGGACAGGGCAGGAGCGAGGCACAGGGAUGUGCAGGGAAGACACGUUCAUUGAGUAAAUGUUUCAUGAGCUCCUAC